This is a long non-coding RNA of Ornithodoros turicata, 831 nucleotides long. RefSeq lists it as uncharacterized. The record is from RefSeq and is a predicted model, not a curated record. NCBI's taxonomy places the organism in Eukaryota, Metazoa, Arthropoda, Arachnida, Ixodida, Argasidae. The transcript has 5 exons.
GGGGCACACAACGUCACAAACACGACUCGAAGUCGGAUACGAGAUCUCCCUCUGCCCACACACAAUAACGGCUAUCUUAACUGUUGUGCCGUUUUAGAGUUCUUGAAUACCGACCCAGAAAAGUAAGAGAGGAGAAUGGGCCUCGCUUCUCAUGGGUCUUCUUGUUAUCAAUGGGGUAUUCGUGCCAGAGUCUGCCAGAGCUGGCCUUCCACGAGCGAGCGCCAGUGCAGACUGUGCAGGUCAAGCAUACAACCAAGUUAUGCGGAUGUUUUGCAUGGUGAUUCUUCGCCUCCAAGGGCCAACGCAUGGAAACCUCAUCGAAAGUUUGUUGACUUUUUUAGACUGCAAUGCUUGCAACAUCUUGUUUGUGUAACAGCUGUGACCUGACAAAAUGGCGUAGGUGCAGGUUUGCUGGUGGAUAAACUUCAUAACGUAGAGGCCGGAGUCUGUUCUCACAAAGCUGCUGCUUGAGUUCAGAAUAUUGUUCCGUCCAACGAGAACUCGUCGCACAAGCGCAGCAGGGAUUUGAAGAUCUUUUGAUGAUCGUACAGGAAAACGGCACGGAGGCUGAACUACUCCUCAUUGCAGAUAGCGACGGUGACCUGUGCGUCCUUGCCCUGAAAUUAAUUUCACGGAGAUAAAAUGAGUAGUCUUCGUCACUUAUCAUAGAGGAACAAGAGCUGCCUCUCUGCCCCAUAAUCAAGCUCAUCGAUAUAAACAUCAUCCAAAGGGCAAUUUUAAAGCUCGAAGAGACAAAGGCUCGGGAGAAGUGCAUUGAUUUUGUAAAUUUAUUUAUGUAGUACUGUAAAUAAACAUUUUUGCGUUUGGUUC